UACGGGGGGGGCAAGCGUUGUUCGGAAUUACUGGGCGUAAAGGGCGCGUAGGCGGCGUGACAAGUCACUUGUGAAAUCUCCGGGCUUAACUCGGAACGGUCAAGUGAUACUGUCGUGCUAGAGUACAGAAGGGGCAACUGGAAUUCUCGGUGUAGCGGUGAAAUGCGUAGAUAUCGAGAGGAACACCUGCGGCGAAGGCGGGUUGCUGGGCUGAUACUGACGCUGAGGCGCGAAAGCUAGGGGAGCGAACGGG
RNAcentral lists this ribosomal RNA (253 nucleotides) under uncultured bacterium. RNAcentral describes it as "partial 16S ribosomal RNA". It matches the Rfam family "Bacterial small subunit ribosomal RNA", at positions 524 to 776 of the family's 1533-position model. The record is from RNAcentral.